Molecule: non-coding RNA, 344 nt
Organism: Meleagris gallopavo (turkey)
Lineage: Eukaryota; Metazoa; Chordata; Aves; Galliformes; Phasianidae
Source: RefSeq, a predicted model, not a curated record
UGAGUACACUGAUUUUCUUCUUUCUAGCAAUAAUUCAGAAAAGGUUAAAGAAGGAAAAGAAAGCAAAGAGGAAAUUGCAGGAAGCACUUGAAUUUGAGACUAAACGACGGGAGCAAGCAGAACAGACACUGAAACAAGCAGCUUCAACAGAUAGUCUCAGAGUCCUAAAUGACUCUCUGACCCCAGAGAUAGAAGCUGACCGCAGUGGGGGCAGAACAGAUGCUGAAAGGACAAUACAAGGUUCACUAGAUGCCUAUGCCUAGCUCCCAAUCCGGUUUCCCAAGAUCCCCUCAUCCCACACAAAAAGGUACCAUACAAAGAUAAUGUUUACUUUUAUAUACUGU